Non-coding RNA from Eubacterium ruminantium, 73 nucleotides. The record is from Rfam. Lineage: Bacteria; Bacillati; Bacillota; Clostridia; Eubacteriales; Eubacteriaceae.
GCUGUUAUAGCUCAGUCGGUAGAGCGCAACAUCGGUAAUGUUGAGGUCACGGGUUCGAUUCCCGUUAGCAGCU